UUUCUGUUAGUUGCUGAUUUUCUAAGAAAGAAGAAAUUAUAUCAGUGAAGGAAAAACAUUCAAAGUAAAACUUCUUUUCAGUAGCUAAAUAUGAUGAUGACUAAGUGCCAAUUAGCCAAGUUAAUUCCUAUGGUUUUGAGGGGAAUAUGAGGUUUAACCUUCGCAUUGGGGGAUUCCCAUGUGAGAAGGUACUGGCUACCAAUCAAACUUCUUGGGCAAUCUCAUUGAACACUUACCUCGAAAUUUACCAAACCCACCUGAGAAAGUGAGCUUAGGUUCUCAUUACUUUUUAUUUGUAUCUAUCUUCCUGCUUCUGAGCUUGCUGAGAGGCCAGUACGCAAUGUACGAUAGGCCAGAAGCAACUGGGUGAGAGAGAAUUGAAACUCACAGCAACUCCUCUGGACCACUCCUCAGUCUUUUUCCUUUGCUGCUUCUUGCUGCCUUGCUAUACAUCCCACCAUCCCACUUCUGUCUGUUACCAGCAGUGUUAAAAUGACUUAAUCUUGCCAUUCUCUAUUGCCCUGUUUUCCUGAAUCAGUUUCAUCCUAUUCUCUCUUGGGAGUUCCUGCUCCAGAUGUGAUCUCUCUUCUUCCACUCACUCAAGAAUUUUGCACUUGGGACAUUGGACUCAGAGCCUUUGUCAUCCCUCCCUCUUGCUCCCAAAGACUCUGGUCCAGCUCCAAACUCCUCCCCACCAGGGUCCAAAGUCCUCUCCCCGGCCUCUUUUCCUGUGUUGGUGGGGAACGAACGACUGUCCCUUCUGGCCUUUCAUGCAGAAUAGGCUUGUGCCUAUUCCCUAGGAUAUACUCACCUUCACCAAAAAUAUUCUUUCUUCAGAUCCCUCCGUCAGAUUCUCGGACUGACCAGCCAGAUUUCAGGCAAGCCACAUUUCACUUCUUGACUACCUUGUCUUCUGCUGUGGAAAUGCCCCUGAUUAUUCUCCCUGUGCAAACUAGCAGUUUUGGUGUAUGCACAAGAGGAAUUUAAUUUUACACAAAAGCAAGUACUAGAGGGAAAUAAUUGGUGA
This 1027-nucleotide long non-coding RNA is filed under the name Dasypus novemcinctus (nine-banded armadillo). RNAcentral describes it as "lncRNA (ENSDNOG00000051705.1)". The record is from RNAcentral. Lineage: Eukaryota; Metazoa; Chordata; Mammalia; Cingulata; Dasypodidae.